UACGUAGGUGGCGAGCGUUGUCCGGAUUUACUGGGCGUAAAGGGAGCGUAGGCGGACUUUUAAGUGAGAUGUGAAAUACUCGGGCUCAACUUGAGUGCUGCAUUUCAAACUGGAAGUCUAGAGUGCAGGAGAGGAGAAUGGAAUUCCUAGUGUAGCGGUGAAAUGCGUAGAUAUUAGGAGGAACACCAGUGGCGAAGGCGGCCUGCUGGACAGAAACUGACGUUGAGGCUCGAAAGCGUGGGGAGCAAACAGG
Molecule: ribosomal RNA, 253 nt
Filed under: uncultured bacterium
Lineage: Bacteria
Description: partial 16S ribosomal RNA
Rfam family: Bacterial small subunit ribosomal RNA
Source: RNAcentral